UUUCAGAAUGGUUUAUUGUCCUCCCUCUGCCAGAAGCAGAAACAGAUCUUUCUGCAGCCUUCUCUGUGAGAACCCCUCCAGCUCCUGCAGGGCUACAUUCCAUAUUAUUGUGGGAGAGGAAAGGACAAUCACUCCUUACUGUUUAGAUUCGUCUUUCACUUGCUGUUACCCACCAUCUGAGGAAGUUUCCACAUUGAGUAUUCAUGGAUUGAAUGCCAAGGACAGCGCCUAAUUACAGAAUCUUUUAAGAUAAGUGAUACAAGAAAGCAGAGUGUCAAGGGCGCUCCCUGGAAAAACAAGAUACCAAGAUCAAAAGUGGCUGACUGCGUUAAGAAGAGCUAAAUACACUUCUCCAAAGAAGACAUACUGCAAAGAAGACAAUAGGCACAUGAAAAAAAAAAUGCUAUCAUCAUAUAUCAUUUACAGAGAUGCAAAUAAAAACCACAGUGAGAUGCCCUCUCAUACCCAUGGAAAUGACAGGUUUCUGGAAAUUCUAUUUCCUCAUGAUAACUUCAAUCCAGUCUGAAUCACUCUGGCAGGAGAGGCACCAAGAGUCAGGCAUUUCAGGAGAAAAUUACCCUCCUGAGGACCUCAAGUAGAAUUACACAAACAACUGAGAUUUGAAUCCAAAGUCACCAAAAUAAUCUACUUACUUCCCCACUGGCACAUUAACUUUGAAAAGGUUCCCCUGUCAAAAUAUAAAACAGCAGAAGGCAACACAUUUCUACUGAAAUACAGUCCAUCCUGCAUGACAAUAUGAUUGGACCAGGACCCAAAAUGACUCUGUGGAAUGACAGGCACAUGAUGGGAAGUUUCCUUACCUGCUUUUGCUUAAUUUUGUCUUGUUAAGUUUAUCCUUUCCC
This is a long non-coding RNA of Talpa occidentalis (Iberian mole), 863 nucleotides long. RefSeq lists it as uncharacterized. The record is from RefSeq and is a predicted model, not a curated record. Lineage: Eukaryota; Metazoa; Chordata; Mammalia; Eulipotyphla; Talpidae. The transcript is spliced from 5 exons.